Molecule: transfer RNA, 56 nt
Filed under: Cavia porcellus (domestic guinea pig)
Lineage: Eukaryota; Metazoa; Chordata; Mammalia; Rodentia; Caviidae
Rfam family: tRNA
About the family: Transfer RNA (tRNA) molecules are approximately 80 nucleotides in length. Their secondary structure includes four short double-helical elements and three loops (D, anti-codon, and T loops).
Source: Rfam by way of RNAcentral
AGCUCAGUGGUAGAGCACAUGCUUAGCAUGUAUGAGUCCCUGGGUACAAUCCCCAG